Transfer RNA from Ovis aries (sheep), 72 nucleotides. It matches the Rfam family "tRNA". Rfam says of the family: Transfer RNA (tRNA) molecules are approximately 80 nucleotides in length. The record is from Rfam. NCBI's taxonomy places the organism in Eukaryota, Metazoa, Chordata, Mammalia, Artiodactyla, Bovidae.
UUCCCGGUGGUCCAGUGGUUAGGACUUCAUGCUUUCACUGUGUGGGUCUGGGUUCAAUCCCUGGUUGGGAAU